GCCUUCCUGGUGCCCUUCAUUCCACCGGAAUCUGUCGAUGCAGAACCCGGAUUUCAGUGAAAUGAAGCCCCUCAGAAAGGC
This 81-nucleotide microRNA precursor is filed under the name Taeniopygia guttata (zebra finch). RNAcentral's name for it is "microRNA tgu-mir-205 precursor". Its record names the gene tgu-mir-205. It matches the Rfam family "mir-205 microRNA precursor family". The record is from miRBase by way of RNAcentral. Lineage: Eukaryota; Metazoa; Chordata; Aves; Passeriformes; Estrildidae.